AACACUUCGGUUUCCUAAAAAAUAUCUAAAAUAUAACUGGUUGUGAUGAGUGUAUUCAGAGCCUCCUAAAGAAAUAUUGUCACCAAAGUCCAAACUAUGAUGCCAUGCAAAACUCUCACUAAUUAAUGUUAGCUUUAAAUAUUGUGAUGAGAAAAUAACUUAUAUAGCAGAACCUUCAUCAGUGAUUGUAUGGACACCUGAAUUGAUUUCAAAGUAAGUCGGAGCUGGAAAAGUUUGGGUCAGAGUUUUUAGGAUUGGGUUAGACGUCAGAUGUAGGUCUCAGUGAUUAUAUAUUUUGCAUACCUAGGAUAUUUGUACAUUGUACAACUCUUCGUCUUUCCUUCAUAUACCCACAUGCAAAGUUUGAUCAUACUUUUAGUUUGUUUGUGCUUUACGUCCUAUUAACAGCAAUGAUCAUUGAAGGAUGUGGUACUGGAGGAAAGCCGGAGUUCCCAGAGAAAAACCACCGACCUACGGCCAGUACCAGUGACUGCCCCGAGUAGGUCUUUAACCUGCGACCCAGAGUGGAGGGCUAGUGGUAGCAGAAUGUCAGACGCCUAAACCACUUGGCCACAGCGGCCCCAAACUUAUCCUGAUGACAAUACAGGAAAUAGUGUACCAGAGAUGCCCUGUAAACAAUAUUUCCUUAAAUAGGUCAUAGUCAACAUAGGUGACUCUGACCUAGUUUUUUAUGUGACUGUGUUUUCUUGAUGUAACCAUAUACCAAGUUCAAUGAUCACUGUUGGAGAAAUGGAAAGUGGACAAGCAUAUGGCAAACACUAUAUGUGCUCUUUGUUGUCUGCACAACAAAUUUGGUCAGGAAAAGGAAAGAAAUAAUUUGGUCAGGAAAAGGAAAGAAAUAAUUUGGUCAGGAAAGAAAUGCAGUGUAUUGGAUAGUUGUCGUAAUUAUUACUUUGUCAUUGAGGAAAUCAAUACAAUGUAACCUGUCUAAACCAGAUAAUGCCUGAAACUUGGAUAAUUUACCAGUUUAUACAGGGUCCAAAUAUUACAGGUUUAUGCAGGGUCAAGAUGUUACUCUGUGAUAGUAAAUAUUAACACUUUGAACAUACAAUGCUUAUUUUUUAACAAAUAUAUCAUUUUAAAGAGAAAAUUGGGACUGUUUUUAAAAAGUCUGUAAAGACAGGGAUCAUGAUUACACAGGAGCCAGUUUUGACAGGUUUUACUGUUAAGUAACUCUGUUUAUUGAUUUCAAACUGUAGAUCAGAAAAUUAUUUUCUUACACAGGAUGUACACGUAUUAAGUUUUUCAUCACAUAAUACCUAAGGCAAAAAAACAAUAGCCAUUUCUUACAAAAUAGUUUCAAUUUAUUUCAAGCACUUGAAUUACACAUUAUUUUUUAUAAACAUUUAU
Long non-coding RNA from Mizuhopecten yessoensis (Yesso scallop), 1371 nucleotides. RefSeq lists it as uncharacterized. The record is from RefSeq and is a predicted model, not a curated record. Lineage: Eukaryota; Metazoa; Mollusca; Bivalvia; Pectinida; Pectinidae. The transcript has 2 exons.